CUAUGCGCCUUGCCAGCCCGCUCAGGUGUGACAGCCGCCGCGGUAAUACGGAGGAUGCGAGCGUUAUCCGGAUUUAUGGGUUUAAAGGGUGCGUAGGCGGGAUGCCAAGUCAGCGGUAAAAAUGCGGUGCUCAACGCCGUCGAGCCGUUGAAACUGGCGUUCUUGAGUGGGCGAGAAGUAUGCGGAAUGCGUGGUGUAGCGGUGAAAUGCAUAGAUAUCACGCAGAACUCCGAUUGCGAAGGCAGCAUACCGGCGCCCUACUGACGCUGAGGCACGAAAGCGUGGGUAUCGAACAGG
Molecule: ribosomal RNA, 297 nt
Filed under: uncultured bacterium
Lineage: Bacteria
Description: partial 16S ribosomal RNA
Rfam family: Bacterial small subunit ribosomal RNA
Source: RNAcentral